Molecule: ribosomal RNA, 3028 nt
Filed under: Salmonella enterica subsp. enterica serovar Uganda
Lineage: Bacteria; Pseudomonadati; Pseudomonadota; Gammaproteobacteria; Enterobacterales; Enterobacteriaceae
Description: 23S ribosomal RNA
Rfam family: Bacterial large subunit ribosomal RNA
Source: RNAcentral
GGGUUGUGAGGUUAAGCGACUAAGCGUACACGGUGGAUGCCCUGGCAGUCAGAGGCGAUGAAGGGCGUGCUAAUCUGCGAUAAGCGCCGGUAAGGUGAUAUGAACCGUUAUAACCGGCGAUACCCGAAUGGGGAAACCCAGUGUGACUCGUCACACUAUCAUUAACUGAAUCCAUAGGUUAAUGAGGCGAACCGGGGGAACUGAAACAUCUAAGUACCCCGAGGAAAAGAAAUCAACCGAGAUUCCCCCAGUAGCGGCGAGCGAACGGGGAGGAGCCCAGAGCCUGAAUCAGCAUGUGUGUUAGUGGAAGCGUCUGGAAAGGCGCGCGAUACAGGGUGACAGCCCCGUACACAAAAGCGCAUGUGCUGUGAGCUCGAUGAGUAGGGCGGGACACGUGGUAUCCUGUCUGAAUAUGGGGGGACCAUCCUCCAAGGCUAAAUACUCCUGACUGACCGAUAGUGAACCAGUACCGUGAGGGAAAGGCGAAAAGAACCCCGGCGAGGGGAGUGAAAAAGAACCUGAAACCGUGUACGUACAAGCAGUGGGAGCCCCACCACUAAGCCAGUGGUGAACUCCACAUACGCAUCCUUUGCUGAGGAUACGGUUAACGGAGCGAAAGCGACGUUCAACCGCAAAAGAAGCAGAGGGGGCUUAGUGGUGGGGUGACUGCGUACCUUUUGUAUAAUGGGUCAGCGACUUAUAUUCUGUAGCAAGGUUAACCGAAUAGGGGAGCCGUAGGGAAACCGAGUCUUAACCGGGCGUUAAGUUGCAGGGUAUAGACCCGAAACCCGGUGAUCUAGCCAUGGGCAGGUUGAAGGUUGGGUAACACUAACUGGAGGACCGAACCGACUAAUGUUGAAAAAUUAGCGGAUGACCUGUGGCUGGGGGUGAAAGGCCAAUCAAACCGGGAGAUAGCUGGUUCUCCCCGAAAGCUAUUUAGGUAGCGCCUCGUGAAUUCAUCUCCGGGGGUAGAGCACUGUUUCGGCUAGGGGGCCAUCCCGGCUUACCAACCCGAUGCAAACUGCGAAUACCGGAGAAUGUUAUCACGGGAGACACACGGCGGGUGCUAACGUCCGUCGUGAAGAGGGAAACAACCCAGACCGCCAGCUAAGGUCCCAAAGUCAUGGUUAAGUGGGAAACGAUGUGGGAAGGCCCAGACAGCCAGGAUGUUGGCUUAGAAGCAGCCAUCAUUUAAAGAAAGCGUAAUAGCUCACUGGUCGAGUCGGCCUGCGCGGAAGAUGUAACGGGGCUAAACCAUGCACCGAAGCUGCGGCAGCGACACUCAGGUGUUGUUGGGUAGGGGAGCGUUCUGUAAGCCUGUGAAGGUGUGUCGUGAGGCAUGCUGGAGGUAUCAGAAGUGCGAAUGCUGACAUAAGUAACGAUAAAGCGGGUGAAAAGCCCGCUCGCCGGAAGACCAAGGGUUCCUGUCCAACGUUAAUCGGGGCAGGGUGAGUCGACCCCUAAGGCGAGGCCGAAAGGCGUAGUCGAUGGGAAACAGGUUAAUAUUCCUGUACUUGGUGUUACUGCGAAGGGGGGACGGAGAAGGCUAUGUUGGCCGGGCGACGGUUGUCCCGGUUUAAGCGUGUAGGUGUGUGUUCCAGGUAAAUCCGGUUCACUUUAACACUGAGGCGUGACGACGAGGCACUACGGUGCUGAAGCAACAAAUGCCCUGCUUCCAGGAAAAGCCUCUAAGCAUCAGGUAACAUCAAAUCGUACCCCAAACCGACACAGGUGGUCAGGUAGAGAAUACCAAGGCGCUUGAGAGAACUCGGGUGAAGGAACUAGGCAAAAUGGUGCCGUAACUUCGGGAGAAGGCACGCUGACACGUAGGUGAAGUGAUUUACUCAUGGAGCUGAAGUCAGUCGAAGAUACCAGCUGGCUGCAACUGUUUAUUAAAAACACAGCACUGUGCAAACACGAAAGUGGACGUAUACGGUGUGACGCCUGCCCGGUGCCGGAAGGUUAAUUGAUGGGGUCAGCGCAAGCGAAGCUCCUGAUCGAAGCCCCGGUAAACGGCGGCCGUAACUAUAACGGUCCUAAGGUAGCGAAAUUCCUUGUCGGGUAAGUUCCGACCUGCACGAAUGGCGUAAUGAUGGCCAGGCUGUCUCCACCCGAGACUCAGUGAAAUUGAACUCGCUGUGAAGAUGCAGUGUACCCGCGGCAAGACGGAAAGACCCCGUGAACCUUUACUAUAGCUUGACACUGAACAUUGAGCCUUGAUGUGUAGGAUAGGUGGGAGGCUUUGAAGCGUGGACGCCAGUCUGCGUGGAGCCGACCUUGAAAUACCACCCUUUAAUGUUUGAUGUUCUAACGUGGACCCGUAAUCCGGGUUGCGGACAGUGUCUGGUGGGUAGUUUGACUGGGGCGGUCUCCUCCUAAAGAGUAACGGAGGAGCACGAAGGUUGGCUAAUCCUGGUCGGACAUCAGGAGGUUAGUGCAAUGGCAUAAGCCAGCUUGACUGCGAGCGUGACGGCGCGAGCAGGUGCGAAAGCAGGUCAUAGUGAUCCGGUGGUUCUGAAUGGAAGGGCCAUCGCUCAACGGAUAAAAGGUACUCCGGGGAUAACAGGCUGAUACCGCCCAAGAGUUCAUAUCGACGGCGGUGUUUGGCACCUCGAUGUCGGCUCAUCACAUCCUGGGGCUGAAGUAGGUCCCAAGGGUAUGGCUGUUCGCCAUUUAAAGUGGUACGCGAGCUGGGUUUAGAACGUCGUGAGACAGUUCGGUCCCUAUCUGCCGUGGGCGCUGGAGAACUGAGGGGGGCUGCUCCUAGUACGAGAGGACCGGAGUGGACGCAUCACUGGUGUUCGGGUUGUCAUGCCAAUGGCACUGCCCGGUAGCUAAAUGCGGAAGAGAUAAGUGCUGAAAGCAUCUAAGCACGAAACUUGCCCCGAGAUGAGUUCUCCCUGAGACUUUAGGUCUCCUGAAGGAACGUUGAAGACGACGACGUUGAUAGGCCGGGUGUGUAAGCGCAGCGAUGCGUUGAGCUAACCGGUACUAAUGAACCGUGAGGCUUAACCUUACAACGCCGAAG